AACAAGAAUGGAGAGACCUUGUUGUUUCCCUGUGCAAAGCAUAGCAUCCAAAGGAUCAGAAAUGACUGACAAGGACAACAGAAUUUCAAUGGCAAUGCUUGUUGACAUCAUUGUUUUGCACCCCACUUUUACAAUACAGGAGAGAUACUUUGUUUCCUUUAGUCUGACUAGUUCUUGGCCAUCUUUAGGCAGGUAUCCUUUGUUCUCCUUCCAAAGCCACCCUGUUUGUUUCCUUUUUGAAUUUUUCUGCAACUUGUACUCUAUCUGACUGGCUGGUAUAUUCUCAUCUUCCUAAUCCUAACUGCAGAACCCCCAGGAAUGGAGAGACCUUAGGAUUUGUUUCCCUGUGAGCCACUUGAUAAUGGUGAUGAUAAGUCAUGCAUUCCAUGUGUGACUGCGUAAACUUAGAGUUUCAUUCUUCCUGCAUCUUGAUUGCUUCUGUUGUUUGUGUUUCUUUAGCUGUCCAUGUUCCACCAUAGAAUAAACAGCAAGAUUCGUGAUGUUUGUGAUGAUGACAAUGAGGAUAAUGAUAAUGAUCAGACAUACAUGUCACAUGUGGGUGGAUAAAUGUUUUUGAAUCUUGAUUGCUUUUGUUGUAUGAGUUGUCUUCAAGUCGUGAAGCUUCAAUGGCAAUGCUUGCUGAAGUCAUCAUACCUAGGCAGUCAAGGCCACAAUGAUACGUUGGAAUCCACUGCAAUCCUUUGCACAGGUGCUCCAUGUCUCCAUCUCAAGUCAGGUCCUGUUCUUCCUCUGCUGAAAUUUUCUAUAAUUUACACUGCUUGUCUACCUUGUCUAAUACUACUCUCAUCAUCCUAACUGUAGCAAUAGGCAAUUUUCAUUAUGAUGUCAUGCCAUAAGUGAGAAUCCUUAAAGCGUUUGUUUAGCUCACUGGGAUUGGGCUGCUAUUUAUUGUAUUUAUUAGGAAAAAAUCUGAACUCUGGUUGUUUUAGUCAAAUGACAUCAUAGUGCAAACAGCCUAUUGUUUGGUGAUUAUCUUCUUGGCUAGGUCCUGGAUUCCUCUUUUUGUCACAGCAUUAGCAGCUUCCAAGGUACUUGCAGUGAUUCAUUGAUUGGCACUCCUGCUCAUCUGCCAACCGGCUGGCUGCCUUUCCUCUUUUGGUUAGCUCAAUGAUCCUUGUCAGCUAUUAUCAAAGGCUACCUAUCUAGCUGAUAUGAGCUGAGAGUCCUGUCUGGCUUGGGUGUAGCACUCAGCAUAUUGAUGAAUAACAGGCUGGGUGGUCUGUCUUUGAAAUGUCUUUUUUAUGGCAGUGGCUGACUGGAGAAGAACUGGUCAUCAUGAAAUGAAGAGAGCUGAAAAAUAAAACAAGGCAGUUAAUGAAGAACAAAGUGAACAUCAUCCGACUGUAAUAACUGCACUUAUCCUUUGCACAGUUGACACAGUUUUGGUGUGAAUAGGCUUUUUGAUGAACGAUAUAAAAAUUCAUCAUCUUUGGAAAUCGAACAGUUAUGGCGCGAAGUAACCCAUGUGGAAUGCGCACAAUUUCUGUAAGAUCUGAUUUUGUUAAAUUAUUUACAUUGAUCACUCAUUUAUUUUCGAAAUCAGAUAUUAUGAAAUUAUUUGGCAUAGAAUUCUAACCUCAGUGGAAUGUUCUAGUCCGAUCCCAAACGUAAAAAAUGCAAUUAAAGUAACUUCCCCAA
RNAcentral lists this long non-coding RNA (1659 nucleotides) under Orbicella faveolata. RNAcentral's name for it is "uncharacterized LOC110056596". The record is from RNAcentral. Lineage: Eukaryota; Metazoa; Cnidaria; Anthozoa; Scleractinia; Merulinidae.